Molecule: ribosomal RNA, 508 nt
Filed under: uncultured bacterium
Lineage: Bacteria
Description: bacterial SSU rRNA
Rfam family: Bacterial small subunit ribosomal RNA
Source: RNAcentral
GAUGAACGCUAGCGGCAGGCUUAACACAUGCAAGUCGAGGGGCAGCGGAGAAUUGCUUGCAAUUCAGACGGCGACCGGCGAACGGGUGCGUAACGCGUAUAGAACCUACCUUUUACAGAGGGAUACCCCAUGGAAACGUGGACUAAUACCUCAUAGUAUCAACUGAUGGCAUCAUGUGGUUGAUUAAAGAUUUAUCGGUAAAAGAUGGCUAUGCGUCCUAUUAGCUAGAUGGUAAGGUAACGGCUUACCAUGGCAAUGAUAGGUAGGGGUCCUGAGAGGGAGAUCCCCCACACUGGUACUGAGACACGGACCAGACUCCUACGGGAGGCAGCAGUGAGGAAUAUUGGUCAAUGGAGGCAACUCUGAACCAGCCAUGCCGCGUGCAGGAUGACUGCCCUAUGGGUUGUAAACUGCUUUUAUACAGGAAGAAACGGCGCCACGUGUGGUGCUUUGACGGUACUGUAAGAAUAAGGACCGGCUAACUCCGUGCCAGCCGCCGCCGUAACAC